RNAcentral lists this ribosomal RNA (504 nucleotides) under uncultured bacterium. Its description in RNAcentral is "partial 16S ribosomal RNA". It matches the Rfam family "Bacterial small subunit ribosomal RNA", at positions 29 to 523 of the family's 1533-position model. The record is from RNAcentral.
AUUGAACGCUGGCGGCAGGCCUAACACAUGCAAGUCGGACGGUAGCACAGAGAGCUUGCUCUUGGGUGACGAGUGGCGGACGGGUGAGUAAUGUCUGGGGAUCUGCCCGAUAGAGGGGGAUAACCACUGGAAACGGUGGCUAAUACCGCAUAACGUCGCAAGACCAAAGAGGGGGACCUUCGGCCCUCUCACUAUCGGAUGAACCCAGAUGGGAUUAGCUAGUAGGCGGGGUAAUGGCCCACCUAGGCGACGAUCCCUAGCUGGUCUGAGAGGAUGACCAGCCACACUGGAACUGAGACACGGUCCAGACUCCUACGGGAGGCAGCAGUGGGGAAUAUUGCACAAUGGGCGCAAGCCUGAUGCAGCCAUGCCGCGUGUAUGAAGAAGGCCUUCGGGUUGUAAAGUACUUUCAGCGGGGAGGAAGGCGGCAAGGUCAAUAACCUUGCCGAUUGACGUUACCCGCAGAAGAAGCACCGGCUAACUCCGUGCCAGCCGCCGCAGUAA